RNAcentral lists this ribosomal RNA (235 nucleotides) under uncultured bacterium. RNAcentral describes it as "partial 16S ribosomal RNA". It matches the Rfam family "Bacterial small subunit ribosomal RNA", at positions 100 to 334 of the family's 1533-position model. RNAcentral also lists the same sequence under 1 other name. The record is from RNAcentral.
CGGUACGGGUGCGGAACACGUGUGCAACCUGCCUUUAUCUGGGGGAUAGCCUUUCGAAAGGAAGAUUAAUACUCCAUAAUAUAUUGAACGGCAUCGUUUAAUAUUGAAAGCUCCGGCGGAUAGAGAUGGGCACGCGCAAGAUUAGCUAGUUGGUGAGGUAACGGCUCACCAAGGCGAUGAUCUUUAGGGGGCCUGAGAGGGUGAUCCCCCACACUGGUACUGAGACACGGACCAG